AGUGAACGCUGGCGGUAGGCCUAACACAUGCAAGUCGAACGGCAGCACAGUAAGAGCUUGCUCUUACGGGUGGCGAGUGGCGGACGGGUGAGGAAUACAUCGGAAUCUACUUUUUCGUGGGGGAUCACGUAGGGAAACUUACGCUAAUACCGCAUACGACCUACGGGUGAAAGCAGGGGAUCUUCGGACCUUGCGCGAUUGAAUGAGCCGAUGUCGGAUUAGCUAGUUGGCGGGUUAAAGGCCCACCAAGGCGACGAUCGGUAGCUGGACUGAGUGGAUGAUCAGCCACACUGGAACUGGGACACGGUCCAGACUCCUACGGGAGGCAGCAGUGGGGAAUAUUGGACAAUGGGCGCAAGCCUGAUCCAGCCAUACCGCGUGGGUGAAGAAGGCCUUCGGGUUGUAAAGCCCUUUUGUUGGGAAAGAAAAGCAGCAGGUUAAUACCCCGCUGUUCUGACGGUACCCAAAGAAUAAGCACCGGCUAACUUCGUG
RNAcentral lists this ribosomal RNA (492 nucleotides) under uncultured bacterium. Its description in RNAcentral is "partial 16S ribosomal RNA". It matches the Rfam family "Bacterial small subunit ribosomal RNA", at positions 29 to 507 of the family's 1533-position model. The record is from RNAcentral.